RNAcentral lists this ribosomal RNA (397 nucleotides) under uncultured bacterium. Its description in RNAcentral is "partial 16S ribosomal RNA". It matches the Rfam family "Bacterial small subunit ribosomal RNA", at positions 523 to 918 of the family's 1533-position model. The record is from RNAcentral.
AUACGUAGGGGGCGAGCGUUGUCCGGAAUGAUUGGGCGUAAAGGGCGCGUAGGCGGCCUGUUAAGUCUGGAGUGAAAGUCCUGUUUUCAAGAUGGGAAUUGCUUUGGAUACUGAUGGGCUUGAGUGCAGGAGAGGUUAUCGGAAUUCACGGUGUAGCGGUGAAAUGCGUAGAGAUCGGGAGGAACACCAGUGGCGAAGGCGGGUAACUGGACUGCAACUGACGCUGAGGCGCGAAAGUGUGGGGAGCAAACAGGAUUAGAUACCCUGGUAGUCCACACGGUAAACGAUGAAUGCUAGGUGUAAGAGGUAUCGACCCCUUUUGUGCCGGAGUUAACACAAUAAGCAUUCCGCCUGGGGAGUACGGCCGCAAGGUUGAAACUUAAAGGAAUUGACGGGG